RNAcentral lists this ribosomal RNA (466 nucleotides) under uncultured bacterium. RNAcentral's name for it is "partial 16S ribosomal RNA". It matches the Rfam family "Bacterial small subunit ribosomal RNA", at positions 28 to 507 of the family's 1533-position model. The record is from RNAcentral.
GAUGAACGCUGGCGGCGUGCUUAACACAUGCAAGUCGAACGAUGAAGCCCAGCUUGCUGGGUGGAUUAGUGGCGAACGGGUGAGUAAAACGUGAGUAACCUGCCCUUAACUCUGGGAUAUGCCUGGGAAACUGGGGCUAAUACCGGAUAGGAGCGUCCACCGCAUGGUGGGUGUUGGAGAGAUUUAUCGGUUUUGGAUGGACUCGCGGCCUAUCAGCUUGUUGGUGAGGUAGUGGCUCACCAAGGCGACGACGGGUAGCCGGCCUGAGAGGGUGACCGGCCACACUGGGACUGAGACACGGCCCAGACUCCUACGGGAGGCAGCAGUGGGGAAUAUUGCACAAUGGGCGCAAGCCUGAUGCAGCGACGCCGCGUGAGGGAUGACGGCCUUCGGGUUGUAAACCUCUUUCAGUAGGGAAGAAGCGAAAGUGACGGUACCUGCAGAAGAAGCACCGGCUAACUACGUG